This 65-nucleotide transfer RNA is filed under the name Dipodomys ordii (Ord's kangaroo rat). It matches the Rfam family "tRNA". Rfam says of the family: Transfer RNA (tRNA) molecules are approximately 80 nucleotides in length. Their secondary structure includes four short double-helical elements and three loops (D, anti-codon, and T loops). The record is from Rfam by way of RNAcentral. Lineage: Eukaryota; Metazoa; Chordata; Mammalia; Rodentia; Heteromyidae.
GGUGGUUCAGUGGUAGAGUGCUUGCCUUGCAUGCAUGAGGCCUUGGGUUCGAUUCCUCAGCACCA